GUCCCAGUAGCUUAACUUAAAGCAUUGGUCUUGUAAACAAAGAUUGAAAUCUAACCCUUCUCCUGAGACU
This 70-nucleotide transfer RNA is filed under the name Boulenophrys spinata (spiny spadefoot toad). RNAcentral describes it as "tRNA-Thr". The record is from RNAcentral. Lineage: Eukaryota; Metazoa; Chordata; Amphibia; Anura; Megophryidae.